CCCUUAGAUGUUCGGGGCCGCACGCGCGCUACACUGAAGGACUCAGCGUGUCUCUCCCCCUAUCCCGAAAGGGAUGGGCAACCCGUUAAACCUCCUUCGUGCUAGGGAUUGGGGUUUGCAAUUAUCCCCCAUGAACGAGGAAUUCCCAGUAAGCGCGAGUCAUCAGCUCGCGUUGAUUACGUCCCUGCCCUUUGUACACACCGCCCGUCGCUACUACCGAUUGGAUGGUUUAGUGAGACCCUCGGAUCGGUCCCGACUCGGGGUGGGCUUCUGCCCCGGUCGUGGUUUCGCCGAGAAGACGGUCAAACUUGACUAUCUAGAGGAAGUAAAAGUCGUAACA
This 340-nucleotide ribosomal RNA is filed under the name uncultured eukaryote. RNAcentral describes it as "partial 18S ribosomal RNA". It matches the Rfam family "Eukaryotic small subunit ribosomal RNA", at positions 1470 to 1796 of the family's 1831-position model. The record is from RNAcentral.